This 136-nucleotide ribosomal RNA is filed under the name Prolemur simus (greater bamboo lemur). Lineage: Eukaryota; Metazoa; Chordata; Mammalia; Primates; Lemuridae. The record is from RNAcentral.
CUAUGGCCAUACCACCCUGAAUGCUCCUGCUCUCAUCUGAUCUCAGAAGCUAAUUGGGUUCGGACCUGUUUAUAGUACUUGGAUGAAGAUAUUUACCUAAAUCUUCUAACCUAGAUAACAUUUGGUCCCAGAUAGU